Non-coding RNA from Struthio camelus australis, 812 nucleotides. NCBI's taxonomy places the organism in Eukaryota, Metazoa, Chordata, Aves, Struthioniformes, Struthionidae. The record is from RefSeq and is a predicted model, not a curated record.
UCAAGUAGCAAUGUCUGAAAUAAAUACGUAGCUUCAUUGUCAUCUUCUCUUUUUAGCAGAGCGUGUAGAACUAAGAACAAAUAAUAGAAGUUUUCACAGUUAGAGAUGACCAACCUAACUCAAGAGCUGUAGGCUAUGCAAAGGAAUUAAAGCAUUUUUUAGAAGUUUUCCUGAAAUGACUGAGGGGUGAAAAGGGCUUUGUUGAGGCAACAACCUCAAAAAGUCUUAUGACUGGGAAACCAGGCUGUCAUGCUUCCAGGUGGUUGGAAAGAUGGAUUGAAGAGGUGAACAGCAGCUUUCAGGAGCAGAUUAUCUGCAAAAUAGGAGAGAUCUGGAAGGACUAAUGGGACUGACAUAUCACUUUCAGAAAAAAUUGGCCGCUUGGGUGUGGAAUCAGAGAACAUAGUGGCCAGUAGCAAGCAGAAGAGGAACCAGAGGUCUGGGAAAAGACUAGUUUCACAGCAAAAUGUGGCUUGUGGCAAUCUGAAGUGACGGCUCCUAGCUUGUGCAAGACACUGGCAAUAGCUGAGAGACUAAUGUCUGCACAGAACCUGUUGGGUUUGUUCUCCAAAGAGAAGCACUGACCUGCUCAGUCCCACGUGUACCGGCUGGUGCCAAGGCAGAAAACGGUUGAAGGGGCCAGAGACGAUCAGCCACCCAACAACUGUGAUGGAGCAUCGUGUGUGAUGAUCUGAGAUGUCCUUGUCUGCAGCUUAUGAAUGCUGAGCGAUGCCAGGACACCUCUGCCAAGCUGACAGUUCCAUUCCUGAUGUGCAGCCUUUUCCAUUUUCUGAUAUCUUUUGCCUUCCUUU